UACGUAGGGGGCAAGCGUUAUCCGGAUUUACUGGGUGUAAAGGGAGCGUAGACGGCAGUGCAAGUCUGGAGUGAAAGGCGGGGGCUCAACCCCCGGACUGCUCUGGAAACUGCACGGCUGGAGUGCAGGAGAGGUAAGCGGAAUUCCUAGUGUAGCGGUGAAAUACGUAGAUAUUAGGAGGAACACCAGUGGCGAAGGCGGCUUACUGGACUGUAACUGACGUUGAGGCUCGAAAGCGUGGGGAGCAAACAGG
Molecule: ribosomal RNA, 253 nt
Filed under: uncultured bacterium
Lineage: Bacteria
Description: partial 16S ribosomal RNA
Rfam family: Bacterial small subunit ribosomal RNA
Source: RNAcentral